RNAcentral lists this transfer RNA (76 nucleotides) under Acetatifactor sp. Its description in RNAcentral is "tRNA-OTHER". It matches the Rfam family "tRNA". From Rfam's summary of the family: Transfer RNA (tRNA) molecules are approximately 80 nucleotides in length. Lineage: Bacteria; Bacillati; Bacillota; Clostridia; Lachnospirales; Lachnospiraceae. The record is from RNAcentral.
GGGGAUGUGGCGAAAUGGUAACGCGGUGGGGAACCCUGUUCCCGGCGAUCUGUGAGUUCGACCCUCACCAUCCCCA